Hydra vulgaris (swiftwater hydra) is the source of this 1005-nucleotide long non-coding RNA. RefSeq lists it as uncharacterized. NCBI's taxonomy places the organism in Eukaryota, Metazoa, Cnidaria, Hydrozoa, Anthoathecata, Hydridae. The record is from RefSeq and is a predicted model, not a curated record.
UGAGAUGGAAAUGGCUCAUUUGAGAUUGAGAACGCUACUUCAAAAAGUCAUCAUUUAAAAUAAUUUUCUGCACCAAUCUUAUUUUGGGAUAUCUCUACCAUUUUAAACGUUACCGUUUUUAUUUCUAAACUAGCCUAAUGUCUGACAAUGUGGUAGGCUUGAAAAAGCAUUUUCUGUAAACGUAAAAAAAUUCUUCAGGUCAAAAAAGAAUGUCACUUUUUGCGAGUAUUGUUGCACAAGCUUGAUAUUCAUAUAUGAUCCAGCUGUUAUUUUCUGGCUCACACUAAGCUGGACUGAUAGAUCACUCGUAAGCUCUUUAAAAAUGGACUACAUUACAUUAAUUUGUAUAAAAAUGUUUUCUCCAAAUGGUUGCUAAUACAUUGCCUAUAGUUAAAAGACCUAUAAAAGUUGAAUUUAAAAAGGUCAGAGUAUCAUUUAUACUUAGCUGAUACACAUACGUUGUUGAAAACGUUAUAAAAAUUUUGAAUGUUGCGUUGGCACAGUAUAGGUCACUAACGUUGUUACUAACUGGUUACAAAUCCAACGUUGCCAACAACAAAAAACUAAUAUUUCUAUUUUAGAGAUUAGAAGUAUUUGUUUAUAGACAUGAUCAGAUCUUGUAAAAUAUCAAUACCUUAAAUAGAAAUGAUAGCCGAAACCUAUGUUUUAAAGAUAGAUUUCCUCUUUUACUUUUUAUAGUUUUUGGAAAAAGUGAAAAAAAAUCUUCAUUAACAGCUAUGCUUAGUAUAUGUGAAGAAGAACUUUUUACAAACUUGAAAAAGUAUUGUUGGGCAAGCAAAAUGUUCAUUCGAGCUGUUUGGAUAGAAAAUACAGAGAAAUAAAAAGAGAAAACUCGAUUGAUAAUUUUUUGUGCUGGCCAUCAUCAUUAAAUGUAAUAAAUGCAUAAACCGCAUCUAAUUAAUACAGAUUUACGCUGCUCAAAAUUAAAUGUCAUUGAGAUCAUGAGCCACUACCAUGCUUAUGCAAGAGAAAACAUAAUAACCA